AUGACGUGCCCUUAUGGAAAAAACUCUGGGUUCAGAAACAAUGGAGAUACCAAACAAGAUAAGACUAAGCCACAGAGAUAUCUGAAAAGCUGCCAUCAAUCAAACCUCUUUGUGAAGCCGGUUAGUGCAGCUUCCAUUGUUCUAAGCAGCAGGCAAAAGGAACAAAUAAAAUCCAGCUGUUUCUUCACUCUGGCACCAGAAAAUCCCUCCAAAACCCCUCAAGGUGAACCUCACAUCAACCAAAACCAAGACAUGAGCCAGAGCCUAAACAGAGGAAAGACAACAGAAGAGAGGAUUCUAGUGACGUAUCUGGUCAUCAUUCCAAGCAACCGAGCUGAACUUUUGCAUUGACAAACAAUUUUUUCCAGAGCAUUUUUAAAUUUACAAGUUGGUUUGCAACAAAACUUUUCAAAAAGAAGUAUUUAUGAUGGCAAAUCUUUAAAAGAAAUGUGUUCUAGACCAAGAAAGGCAAAGCUUUCACGUCUUGUUUAGUCUCUGGCAUGCUUGUUUGCAAAACACAAGCUCCAGUCUGCAUGUUUCCGCAGUCAACUGACUGUCUUAGAGAAUAUCUCAAAAUCAAUCUGUCCCCGUGCUUGCUUAUGAUUCCGCGGUAAUCCGCUGUUUGUAGUCACAAGUUGUCAGGAGAACAUCAUGUAAGGCAUGGUAUGAAGACUUAAGAAAUCUUGAAAUCAGAAACCUCAGUUUUCUUUCUCUUGAAGUGUUUCUAAGGGAAGAAAA
RNAcentral lists this long non-coding RNA (738 nucleotides) under Papio anubis (olive baboon). Its description in RNAcentral is "lncRNA (ENSPANG00000045332.1)". Lineage: Eukaryota; Metazoa; Chordata; Mammalia; Primates; Cercopithecidae. The record is from RNAcentral.